Long non-coding RNA from Malaya genurostris, 326 nucleotides. RefSeq lists it as uncharacterized. The record is from RefSeq and is a predicted model, not a curated record. The transcript is spliced from 2 exons. NCBI's taxonomy places the organism in Eukaryota, Metazoa, Arthropoda, Insecta, Diptera, Culicidae.
UACGCGAGAUUUUUGUUUGUGCACUAGAACGGUUUCUAGCUGCGGAACGAAAUGGAUCUAAGAGCAACUCUUGUUUCCGUGCUACUGAUGCUGUGUGCGAUAUUCUCGGACGCUGCACCAACAAACGACUUGAAGGAGGAGCCCAUAGGAUACGCGCAAUUUAAAAGACAAGCCAAGAUUGCUCGAUGGAUUGAUGAUCCUUACAAACCUAAGCCAUUCAAACAUGUCUAGAAUUUGGAUUUUGCUGCUUUUAAAUUAGUUCGUAAGAUUAUUGCUUCCUAAGAUGUCGUUAUAUUAUCGAAAUAAAUAAACUUGAAUAAGGUCUA